UACAGAGACUGCAAGCGUUAUUCGGAUUCAUUGGGCGUAAAGGGUGCGUAGGCGGCGGAGCAAGUCAGGUGUGAAAUCCCGGGGCUCAACCCUGGAACUGCACUUGAUACUGCUUUGCUAGAGUACUGGAGAGGAGAUUGGAAUUUACGGUGUAGCAGUGAAAUGCGUAGAUAUCGUAAGGAAGACCAGUGGCGAAGGCGAAUCUCUGGACAGUUACUGACGCUGAGGCACGAAGGCCAGGGGAGCAAACGGG
Molecule: ribosomal RNA, 253 nt
Filed under: uncultured bacterium
Lineage: Bacteria
Description: partial 16S ribosomal RNA
Rfam family: Bacterial small subunit ribosomal RNA
Source: RNAcentral